RNAcentral lists this long non-coding RNA (622 nucleotides) under Mytilus galloprovincialis (Mediterranean mussel). Lineage: Eukaryota; Metazoa; Mollusca; Bivalvia; Mytilida; Mytilidae. The record is from RNAcentral.
GAAAUAUUUGGGUAUUGUUUGGUAUCAAAUGCAAGCUUGGGGACUUGGGAUCAAUGUAGAACCCUUGUUGAAAGUUUCUUUUGAAUGAUAAAGAAGAAUAUGAAAUUUUAAUUGGAGGACACAUUUGCCCUUUUGUUAAGAUCAGAAGUACCUGUUUUUGUACUAUCAAACUACCGGGAACCAGUAUACUCUAACAUGAAAUUAAAGGUAUGUUGAAUUUUUCAGCACAAGUCAGGAUAAGAUAUAGUUUUGACAUGAAAUAACUGCCACUUUAUUUGAACUGAAGACAAAUUAGCCAUUAAUGCUUGAAAUUGCAGAAUUUAACAUAGAAAGCAAUGGGGCUAUGAAUUAGUGGUUUUAUACCUUAAACAAUGAAUAACUACCAUACCAUAUAGUAAAAUAUGCUAAACUUAAGAAAAUUCAAACCAAAACCUAAUAGCCUGAAUGAUGCUGAAAAAAUCAUCUAAAACUGCUAUGGCAGACAGCUACUACCAACAAACAUUAGUCUAAAUACACCUGACCUUGUUGAGACGAACAGACAAUGAUUAGUUGUAUAUAUACAAAUGAUAUAUUUAUAUAGACUUCCAAAGAUCUUCAAAAGGGAAACAAAAAAGAGACACGC